AUACGUAGGGAGCGAGCGUUGUCCGGAAUUACUGGGCGUAAAGGGCGCGUAGGCGGCGCUUCAAGUCGUCUGUCAAAUGGGAGGGCUUGACCCUUUUUCGCAGACGAAACUGGAGAGCUUGAGAAGCAGAGAGGCAAACAGAAUUCCUGGUGUAGCGGGGAAAUGCGUAGAUAUCAGGAAGAAUACCAGUGGCGAAGGCGGUUUGCUGGCUACAUACUGACGCUGAAGCGCGAAAGCCAGGGGAGCAAACGGGAUUAGAUACCCCGGUAGUCCUAGCAGUAAACGAUGUAUGCUGGGUGUGAGACUAGCGAUAGUUUCGUGCCGAAGUUAACGCGAUAAGCAUACCGCCUGGGGAGUACGGUCGCAAGAUUGAAACUUAAAGGAAUUGACGGGG
RNAcentral lists this ribosomal RNA (394 nucleotides) under uncultured bacterium. RNAcentral's name for it is "partial 16S ribosomal RNA". It matches the Rfam family "Bacterial small subunit ribosomal RNA", at positions 523 to 918 of the family's 1533-position model. The record is from RNAcentral.